This 301-nucleotide ribosomal RNA is filed under the name uncultured bacterium. RNAcentral describes it as "partial 16S ribosomal RNA". It matches the Rfam family "Bacterial small subunit ribosomal RNA", at positions 509 to 807 of the family's 1533-position model. The record is from RNAcentral.
CAGUAGCCGCGGGAAUACAGAGGGUGCAAGCGUUAAUCGGAAUUACUGGGCGUAAAGCGCGCGUAGGUGGUUUGUUAAGUUGGAUGUGAAAUCCCCGGGCUCAACCUGGGAACUGCAUCCAAAACUGGCAGGCUAGAGUAGGGCAGAGGAUAGUGGAAUUUCCGGUGUAGCAGUGAAAUGCGUAGAGAUCGGAAGGAACAUCUGUGGCGAAGGCGACUAUCUGGGCCAACACUGACACUGAGGCACGAAAGCGUGGGGAGCAAACAGGAUUAGAUACCCCCGUAGUCCCUGUCUCUUAUAC